This 497-nucleotide ribosomal RNA is filed under the name uncultured bacterium. Its description in RNAcentral is "partial 16S ribosomal RNA". It matches the Rfam family "Bacterial small subunit ribosomal RNA", at positions 28 to 507 of the family's 1533-position model. The record is from RNAcentral.
GAUGAACGCUGGCGGCGUGCCUAAUACAUGCAAGUCGAGCGAACAGACGAGGAGCUUGCUCCUUCGACGUUAGCGGCGGACGGGUGAGUAACACGUAGGUAACCUACCUAUAAGACUGGGAUAAUUUCGGGAAACCGGAGCUAAUACCGGAUAAUAUUUCGAACCGCAUGGUUCGAUAGUGAAAGAUGGCUUUGCUAUCACUUAUAGAUGGACCUGCGCCGUAUUAGCUAGUUGGUAAGGUAACGGCUUACCAAGGCAACGAUACGUAGCCGACCUGAGAGGGUGAUCGGCCACACUGGAACUGAGACACGGUCCAGACUCCUACGGGAGGCAGCAGUAGGGAAUCUUCCGCAAUGGGCGAAAGCCUGACGGAGCAACGCCGCGUGAGUGAUGAAGGUCUUCGGAUCGUAAAACUCUGUUAUUAGGGAAGAACAAACGUGUAAGUAACUGUGCACGUCUUGACGGUACCUAAUCAGAAAGCCACGGCUAACUACGUG